CCUACGGGAGGCAGCAGUGAGGAAUAUUGGUCAAUGGACGCAAGUCUGAACCAGCCAAGUAGCGUGCAGGAUGACGGCCCUCCGGGUUGUAAACUGCUUUUAGUUGGGAAUAAAAGGGGGCUCGUGAGCCCCGUAUUGUAUGUACCAUCAGAAAAAGGACCGGCUAAUUCCGUGACAGCAGCCGCGGUAAUACGGAAGGUCCGGGCGUUAUCCGGAUUUAUUGGGUUUAAAGGGAGCGUAGGCCGGCUUUUAAGUCAGCUGUGAAAGUUCGCGGCUCAACCGUGGAAGUGCAGUUGAAACUGGAGGCCGUGAGUGCACACAGGGAUGCCGGAAUUCAUGGUGUAGCGGUGAAAUGCUUAGAUAUCAUGAAGAACUCCGAUCGCGAAGGCAAGUGUCCGGGGUGCAACUGACGCUGAGGCUCGAAAGUGCGGGUAUCAAACAGGAUUAGAUACCCUGUAGUC
This 461-nucleotide ribosomal RNA is filed under the name uncultured bacterium. Its description in RNAcentral is "partial 16S ribosomal RNA". It matches the Rfam family "Bacterial small subunit ribosomal RNA", at positions 338 to 795 of the family's 1533-position model. The record is from RNAcentral.